AGAUCAUGCCAAAUUUCACCCUUAUCCAACUCAUAUAUCUCCAGAUAUCACAGAAAUCCUACUCAACUUAAAACUGCCAACUUCCAAAAUCCUCUUGUAUUAAAAACUAGAUAUCUCUAAACCAUGCCAUUAGAUUAUCACAAAAUUUUGUAUACACUUAGUAAACCUAAUAAUCCAAAAAAUAUCAAAUUUUUAACUAUAGAUGUCAUACGAAUUGCACAAACUAGCCAAAAUUGCUAGCCCUAAUUAUAUUAUAUAAAAUCCAAAUCACCAAUACAAACCCUGAUUUUGAACAACAAUUGCUAAGUCUUCAAAAACCUUCCAAAAAUAAUCCUAUGCUUUUGGAAAGAACUUCAAGUUAGCUCUCAAAUCCUAUCCUUUGAUCUUCAAAUAAAUCCCUAUUUUGCCCCAAUCUGUCGUUUU
RNAcentral lists this long non-coding RNA (423 nucleotides) under Physcomitrium patens. RNAcentral describes it as "long non-coding RNA (PPAT_LNC004098)". Lineage: Eukaryota; Viridiplantae; Streptophyta; Bryopsida; Funariales; Funariaceae. The record is from RNAcentral.